UAAAAUGUUGCAUUAUGGGAUAGUGUUGCACCGCCAGACGCCAUUUUGGUACAAGAUUUGACCAGUGUUCGUCGUGUGUGAACUAAUACCACAUUGAAGUGUCCAUAAAAUAGCUAUGUCAAGAUAUUCCAGUCGUGACUCAGAUCGUGAUAGGGGAAGAGGAGGAGGAGGAAGCGGUGGGGAUCCUGACACAAAGUUAUAUGUUGGUGACCUUGCCAGAGACGCACAUGAAAGAGACUUGGAAAGAGCCUUCAGUUAUUAUGGACGGCUACGUAAUGUUUGGGUUGCAAGAAAUCCAGCCGGAUUUGCCUUUGUUGAGUUUGAAGAUCCAAGGGAUGCUGAUGACGCUGUCAGGGCGUUAGAUGGAACAAAUCUAUGUGGAUCUAGAAUCCGUGUUGAACAUUCCACCGGCAAGGUUCGACCUAAACCCUGGUUGAGGGGUGGCGGGGGAGGUGGACGUGGAGGAAGAGAUGAUCGAGGUGGUGGGGGGAGAGACGACCGUGGUGGUGGAGGAAGAGGAGGAGGAGAAAGAAGUGGAGGUGGUGGUGGUGGCAGAGGAGGAGAUGGUGGGGCGGGGGGACGUAAACCCUUUGACCCAGCAGACAGAUGUUACGAGUGUGGAGAUAAAGGCCAUUACGCCUACGACUGUUCACGCUACAGAGGAAAAGAUAGAGCUAGAAAGAGCAGUAGUUAUUCAAAAAGAUCAAGAACACCGUCAUUUGAUAGCAGUGAUCCUCCUCAUCAAAAGUUAGAUCACAUGAUAAGGCAACAUGCUUAGUGUUCACUCGACACACCUUUAAAUCAAUCUACCGAGAGAGAGAUCGUCAUUCUUCAGAUCUCGUCACUCCUACUGGAGAAUCAGUCAGCCUAUGAGAAUCUGCUUCAGCCCUCAUGUACAUACUGGGACUGUCAGAACGACUAUCGAACCCUCUUCGGCAAUUCUCUUCUCAACACACUGAGAAUGUCAUCCCAGCAGAUCCUCGCCCUAUGAGAAUGAUUUCUUCACAACCCAAACACAUUGAGAAUGAUUUCUACUCAUCUUUUCUUCUUCAACAGAUUUUUAACAGCACUACAUAUUUUUGAUAUCAUCUUAACAAUUGCAUAUGACAGCUGUGUGCGUCAAGGUCAUACUCAAGAUCCAGAUCCAGGAGUAAUAGCAGGGGCAAGGCAAGAUCUUACUCAAGGUCUCGUAGCAGGUCACCAGUUGCCAGAUCUAAGACUAGAAGUCCAAGUCCAUGAACAGAUCAAAGAAAAGACUAGAUGAAAUCAUUUAUUACUAUAUUGUUUUACUCAUUGCUUAAAAUCUAAAAUCCAUCGUUACACAAGUGCUAUUUCACAAACCUUGUGUGUUGUAUGUAUAUAUAUAUUGUUCUUUUUCAUGACAUUGGAUUUUAUUUAGUGGAAAAUUUUCCCUAAAUGCGAACAAAGUUUUAACAUCUUAGAAUUAUCUUACAUCUCUUAAUCAUUCAUUCAUAAACAUUAGGGAGUUUGAAAAACAUGACGUCAUCCAUUUGUUUAAAACAUUUAAUUUUUACACAUCAUCGAAUGAGUCGUGUUUAAUUAUCCAUGUCAUUGACUUUAAUUAAUAGUAGUGAAAAUAAGGGGAUAACAAUAUUGUAUUUUAUUUUUUCGACCGCAUCAAUUGGUGAUUUAAUGGGCACAUCUUAAGUUUACUGGUGGCAUGUUUACGUAGCCAGUAAACAAGUAUUUGUGACCAUCAAUUCACUAAUUGAUGCUUUAGGGGCUUAAAAUACUAAACUAAACAAAACUAAUAUUUGUCCAAAUAAUAUAGAACUGUUCAUGGUCUGUGUAUAAAAGGCAGCAUUUUAUUAACAAUUCAUUGUAUUUUGUUCGUAGGUGUUUAAAAGAUUUCUUGUAUAAUGUUGGAAGUUAAGAUCCUACAAAUGGAAAAUUAAGGAACCUUAAUUACAUGCGUAAUAGGACAAGUAAAUUGUACACUUAAUCCACCAUAAUGGUAGUAAGCCAUUGGGCUAGACAAGUCAUGUCGCAACAUAAAGCAUGAAUCUCUAUAUAAAAGGUCAAAUCUUUGUAACAUACCAACACAUACAAAUACAUUCAACUAAUGUCAGGAUUUAGUGGAAGACAUCAAGAUGUCUGGAUUUAUAGUUCUGGAUGAAUUUACAUCUUAAAAAUAUGGUGUGUUGGAAAUGGCUUUAUUUUAUCACAAUAUAAAUAACGAACAAUGAUUUUACUUGCACCAUGGUUUUAUGUUUAUUGUAGGCAUUUGUAUUGAAUGCGUUCCAAUUGUGUAAAUAAAAAUAAAAAAACUAUAA
Mytilus trossulus (common blue mussel) is the source of this 2294-nucleotide RNA transcript. It is a transcript of the gene named serine/arginine-rich splicing factor 7-like, with no coding region annotated. The transcript is spliced from 6 exons. Lineage: Eukaryota; Metazoa; Mollusca; Bivalvia; Mytilida; Mytilidae. The record is from RefSeq and is a predicted model, not a curated record.